UACGAAGGGGGCUAGCGUUGCUCGGAAUCACUGGGCGUAAAGGGUGCGUAGGCGGGUCUUUAAGUCAGGGGUGAAAUCCUGGAGCUCAACUCCAGACCUGCCUUUGAUACUGAAGAUCUUGAGUUCGGGAGAGGUGAGUGGAACUGCGAGUGUAGAGGUGAAAUUCGUAGAUAUUCGCAAGAACACCAGUGGCGAAGGCGGCUCACUGGCCCGAUACUGACGCUGAGGCACGAAAGCGUGGGGAGCAAACAGG
RNAcentral lists this ribosomal RNA (253 nucleotides) under uncultured bacterium. RNAcentral's name for it is "partial 16S ribosomal RNA". It matches the Rfam family "Bacterial small subunit ribosomal RNA", at positions 524 to 776 of the family's 1533-position model. The record is from RNAcentral.